GACGAACGCUGGCGGCGUGCUUAACACAUGCAAGUCGAACGGGUCUGCCCUGUUUUUUGCGGGGUGGGUCAGUGGCGAACGGGUGAGUAACACGUGAGUAACCUGCCCCUCACUUCUGGAUAACCGCUUGAAAGGGUGGCUAAUACGGGGUGUUCUGGCUGUGCCGCAUGGUGUGGCUGGGAAAGAUUCACUUUUGUGGUGUUUUGGUGGGGGAUGGGCUCGCGGCCUAUCAGCUUGUUGGUGGGGUGAUGGCCUGCCAAGGCUUUGACGGGUAGCCGGCAUGAGAGGGUGGGCGGUCACACUGGGACUGAGAUACGGCCCAGACUCCUGCGGGAGGCAGCAGUGGGGGGUAUUGCACAAUGGGCGGAAGCCUGAUGCAGCGACGUCGCGUGAGGGAUGGAGGCCUUCGGGUUGUGAACCUCUUUCGCCGGUGAAGAAGGUCCUGCUCUUUGUGGUGGGGUUGACGGUAGCCGGGUUAUGAAGCGCCGGCUAACUACGUG
RNAcentral lists this ribosomal RNA (500 nucleotides) under uncultured bacterium. Its description in RNAcentral is "partial 16S ribosomal RNA". It matches the Rfam family "Bacterial small subunit ribosomal RNA", at positions 28 to 507 of the family's 1533-position model. The record is from RNAcentral.